Non-coding RNA from Arachis ipaensis, 2077 nucleotides. The record is from RefSeq and is a predicted model, not a curated record. NCBI's taxonomy places the organism in Eukaryota, Viridiplantae, Streptophyta, Magnoliopsida, Fabales, Fabaceae.
UUCUUUUUCUUUAAGCUUUCCGCACUUUCGAUGAUUCAUGUGUGUUUGUCUCCCUUACCUGUUCGAUGAAAUUCCUCAUUCACGCUCUGCAUUACCAACUUCUAUGCAUUCCAAAAUCUCACCACAAAUGAUUAACAAGUAACAAAUUCGUCUCUUACCAGAUAUUAAAAAAAAUAGAUAUAUUACUAUUACUUCAUUUUUAAUACUGUUAUUAUUGUAUUAUUCACAUGUUAGAUUGAGUUAAAUCGAUUGAUUACAGGUAGAAAUAAAGCUAUAUUAUUGCUAAUGUUCAUAUGAAUUUUGUAAUCUUUGAAGCUACCAGUUGUAUUUUACAGUAAGAUUAUAACACACGAUUUUCAUUUAGCUUUCUCAGCUUUGCUACAAUUUUUCAUAGUCCAAAAUCUAGAUCCCUCAGCUCUCUUUUGAGGUGGACCUAAUUUUUGGAGCUAUUUCAGUUGUUAUUGGGAUUUUUUGUGACUAAUGACGAUUUUAGUAUCAAUAUUGGUGACGUCGAUGCAGUUGAUCCUGUAAGUAUUGCAACAUUCAAAAUUCUAUUCUAAGAGAUAAGAUUUGUUAUUUUCUUGGUGAAACUAUAUUUUGUAAUUUCAUUUUGGUGAGAUUUGUACAACAUGAUAAAUAAAUCAGAAAAUCAAUUUGCACUUCAGAGGAGGAAGAAUUUUUGUUGCUGUGAUUGAAGACUUGCUUGCAAAAGGAAUGAGAAAUGCUCAAAAUGUAAUCGAUAUUGAUGAUUUGUGUUUCAGUAUGAUGAAGAAUGAUUAGCCAUAACAAGGAGGUUCAACUCUAUAUUCCCGCUGACACCCAAGGGUGCAGAUUUCAGAGGUGUGAAUCUUGAGAUGGAUGAUUGUUGCCAAUGGGUUAGAAGCAGGUUACAACAAAGAGGGUGCAAACCUUUUGAAUUUGUUAAAACUGCUCUGUGUUAUGAUCCUUCUCAAUCCAAUUUUCAUGGUUCUUUUGCUGGUUGUCCUCGGAAUCCUCAAACAGAAUCUCUUUUACAGUUUCUUGACCUUCCAUACCUCCUUAAUAAGAAUCCUGAACCAACUGACUUGUCACCUUAUCCUUCUUGCUCCAUUGGGAGAGUGUGACUUCACGUCAGCUGAAUGAAUUGAACAAGAAAUCAGUUAUGAGUGAUGGGAUGAAUUUGAUUCAGAGGUCUCCACAACUGAAGAGUCCUGUUGCGAAGCCGGCAGCUCGGACCAAAGUUCCUUUUGAAAAAGGAUAUAGUCAAAUGGAUUGGCUUAAGCUUACUCGGACACAUCUUGACCUUGCAGGUAUGAUCUUCUUGAUAUAUGCAUCAAUGGCCCAAAGGAUAAGUUAGAUUCAACUGUUCUUAGUCAGAAAAAUAGAGGAUCCUGCUUCUUCAGGGUGUUUCCGCGAUUGUCUUAUUAAAUCCGUUCACGCUCAUUUGGAACCUGCAAGAAGUAACUAUAAGUGAACCUGUAGAAUGGUUGAAACUAGCACAGCGUCUCCGAUGGCGGAGGCUGAUAUAACAGCAAUGAAGGAAACACACCGAGCCCAACAAACUCCUCUGCAGCAGCUACAUGCAGAGUUGGAUCAGGAAAAAGAAGCCUCUGCUACUGCAGCCAGCGAAGCUAUGGACAUGAUACUUCGUCUACAAGGCAAAAAGGCUGCCGUGAAGAUGGAGGCAAGUCACUACAAGAGAAUGGCAGAGGAGAAGAUAGGUCAUGCUGAGGAAACUCUUGAAGUCUUUGAAGAGCUUAUCUAUCAGAAGGAGAUGGAAAUCACUGCUCUUGAGGUCCAAGUCUUGGCUUACAAACAGAAGCUUCUGGCAUUGGGAGUAGAUAUCAAUAUCAGUGAGCUUGAAUUCCCUCAUGAUCUUCUUCUUAAUAGAAGCAAAUAAAAUGGAGAAGAUGAUCAAAGUAGCUCUAAGAGAAGGUUGCAAUCAUUACCCCCUAUUUGCUCUAUGAGGUGCAACUUUAGAUCAUUGCUAAUACUCGUAUUGCUACAUUGAUACAACAUAGCUAUAGGCUUGUAGCAUUUUUUGUUGUUUAGAUUUGUAAUAUGAUUUAUUACUUUUCAAGAGAAAUUUGUGUAUUAA